UAGCAUAUAUAAAACUUAUGUUACGGCCAUAAGAUGGGUAAGAUUUUACCGUAUGCUUU
Molecule: transfer RNA, 59 nt
Filed under: Nippotaenia mogurndae
Lineage: Eukaryota; Metazoa; Platyhelminthes; Cestoda; Nippotaeniidea; Nippotaeniidae
Description: tRNA-Arg
Source: RNAcentral